Ostrea edulis (European flat oyster) is the source of this 1585-nucleotide long non-coding RNA. RefSeq lists it as uncharacterized. The record is from RefSeq and is a predicted model, not a curated record. NCBI's taxonomy places the organism in Eukaryota, Metazoa, Mollusca, Bivalvia, Ostreida, Ostreidae. The transcript is spliced from 3 exons.
GGCUACUAUUAAAGGGCGGGUAACUCUAAUUCCGGUUUAUGACAGGAAGUGUACGAUUAAAAGCGCGGGCUUUCAGCGAGGUAAACAAAGGAAGACAAAGAGAGGGAAUAUACGAUCUACACGAACUGAGCGGUGCUAGAGAUGUUUGGCUAAUGACAUGAUGGCAAGAAUGAAUUUGUGAGCAAACAAGGGAAAGGCAGCCUUCAGCAGAACAAUUCUGUAUUCCGUUAUAAAAGAAUGUGUACUUGCCAGCAAUCCAAGGGCAACUGAAAGCAACAUAGACUAGAUCAUGGGGAACCCCUGAAAGAGCUGGAGGAGGUGGCCGAAAAAAGAACAAUGGACUAAUAGGCUUUAAUUAAAAAUAUAGUUUUUUGUGGGUCACUCACACUCUUGGAAAAAAACCACUCUAGUUAAAUAUCUUAACUAUUGCUUCUGCAAUAGAAAGUAAUUAUCAAAGUUAAUAAAUCUUAUACUAUCAUUCUAUUAAUUUUUGUUUUUGAAUGGAAAUUUAAUUUUUGAAACCAUGUGAAAAAUCUGACAAAUUUAUUUUGCCUUUCAUUUGCGUGUAUAAAUGAAUUUAACCUUGUAUCAUUGUUGUAAUUUUUUACAGUGGAAGUUAUAGAGUUUCACUUGUAUUAUUCAUGUUGUUGUCAUUAUUCUUUUUGUAAGAAUUAAAUUAGGGAAGUAAGGAUUAGUAAUUGUAUUUAGAAUUGUGGAUUACAGCCUGAUGUUUACCAUUUUUCAGCAUGUACACUCAACUUUGCAAUAAAGAUCAAUAAUAUUUUCAAAACCUUCUUUCAACCUUAUUUCAACGUCACAUCAACGUCAUAAAUUGACGUUGAAUCAACGUAAGUUUUCAACGUCGAUUCAAUUAACAAAUCCAACCAAAUUUCAACGUCAUUUCAACGUCACAAUACGACGUUGUUUCAACGUUGAUGUGCCUGCUGGGUGAUUAUACUAUUGCAACAAUUAUAUUACUUUGAUGAAUAUUGUUCGUUAAUUAUCAUACAAUUUCUUCUGAGAGAGAAUGUUAAUCGUUAAUUUAUGUGGGGUUUUCCCGUUGUUUAAUGACGAAAUGCGUAUACAAAACUCAACACCUGGAUUCGGACCACAAUUAAAAGGUGAAGGUCACCAGUCUGAAGAUAUUUGCAAUGUAUUCAGUGUGACAUAUACAUGUCUAUUAAUUUUUUUAAGGGUUUCUUUGCUGUUAAGGUUAUACCAUACACAAAAUUUGGAGAAAGUGUAGAUUACAUCAAUCCUUCUUGUUUUUGCCAUUCUAAAGUUCACAUUAAUUUGUUAAAUGGUAAAAACUAGAGUACAAUUGUAUUUAUUCCGAGAGAUUUCAAUUUUUUCAUGUCUUUGCUUUGAAUUUCCAUACAGAUAUAAAAGGAGAAAUUUGGGAAGAAUGAUGAAAUAAGACUGGUUUGAUAGGGAAAUUUUGUGAUAGAAAUGAUCAUUUUUAGCAAAUAUUAAGCCUGCACAAAGUAUGUGCCCCAAUAAGUUGUAUUAAUAGGUAUACGCAUUCUCAUGUAGUAUUUUUAAAGCUAUACUUUUCUGCUGUAUUUUAAUAAAUUUGCUAAUCCCC